GAUGAACGCUGGCGGCGUGCCUAAUACAUGCAAGUCGAACGAAACUUCUUUAUCACCGAGUGCUUGCACUCACCGAUAAAGAGUUGAGUGGCGAACGGGUGAGUAACACGUGGGCAACCUGCCCAAAAGAGGGGGAUAACACUUGGAAACAGGUGCUAAUACCGCAUAACCAUAGUUACCGCAUGGUAACUAUGUAAAAGGUGGCUAUACUACCGCUUUUGGAUGGGCCCGCGGCGCAUUAGCUAGUUGGUAGGGUAAAGGCUUACCAAGGCAAUGAUGCGUAGCCGAAUUGAGAGGUUGAUCGGCCACAGUGGGACUGAGACACGGCCCAAACUCCUACGGGAGGCAGCAGUAGGGAAUCUUCCACAAUGGGCGAAAGCCUGAUGGAGCAACGCCGCGUGGGUGAAGAAGGUCUUCGGAUCGUAAAACCCUGUUGUUAGAGAAGAAAGUGCGUGAGAGUAACUGUUCACGUUUCGACGGUAUCUAACCAGAAAGCCACUGCUAACUACGUG
RNAcentral lists this ribosomal RNA (512 nucleotides) under uncultured bacterium. RNAcentral's name for it is "partial 16S ribosomal RNA". It matches the Rfam family "Bacterial small subunit ribosomal RNA", at positions 28 to 507 of the family's 1533-position model. The record is from RNAcentral.